Molecule: ribosomal RNA, 307 nt
Filed under: Coelotes antri
Lineage: Eukaryota; Metazoa; Arthropoda; Arachnida; Araneae; Agelenidae
Description: partial 12S ribosomal RNA
Source: RNAcentral
AAACUAAUUUAAUUUGGCGGCAUUUAAUCUAUUUAGAGGAAUUUGUCUAUUAAUCGAUAAUCCACGUUAAAUUUCACUUUAAUCUCAAACUUAUAUACCACCAUCUUAAGAACAAUUUCUAAAAUAUUUCUCUUAAUAAUUUAUAAUAAGUUAGGUCAAGGUAUAAUCAACAUUAAAGAAUAAGAUGAAUUACAUUAAAAAAUAUUUAAAGAUUACUAAUAAAUAUAUUAAUAUAAGUUAGAAUUUAAAAGUAAUAUAUUAAUAAUAAUUAUAUAUGAUAAAGUCAAUAAAUGUGUACACAUCGCCC